AUAUACCAUGGAUAAAUUUCGGUUCCUCCACGCCGUCCGCACCCACCUGGCAACUGCUCGCUACGUUUUAUCAGCU
This 76-nucleotide small RNA is filed under the name Xanthomonas fragariae. Its description in RNAcentral is "sX9 sRNA". It matches the Rfam family "Xanthomonas sRNA sX9". The record is from RNAcentral. Lineage: Bacteria; Pseudomonadati; Pseudomonadota; Gammaproteobacteria; Lysobacterales; Lysobacteraceae.